This 240-nucleotide long non-coding RNA is filed under the name Prunus persica (peach). Its description in RNAcentral is "long non-coding RNA (PPER_LNC004827)". The record is from RNAcentral. Lineage: Eukaryota; Viridiplantae; Streptophyta; Magnoliopsida; Rosales; Rosaceae.
GAAAACCAUAACUCGUCAUUUAUAUAAACUUUAAAUAGAUUGGUUCUCAACUAAACUUAAAAUAUAUACAUAUAUAUAUGUAUAUAUAUAUAUUCGGCGAUAAUAUAUAUACACUAAAUAUAUAUAUAUUCAGUAAUUGAAAAGGUAAUAUAUAUUCACUACUGAAUAUAUAUAUAUAUACACUAAAUACUUGGCUAGUUUGUUAACUAUCUUAAUCUCUGCUUAGCAUACCAUUCCAAU